RNAcentral lists this ribosomal RNA (705 nucleotides) under uncultured bacterium. Its description in RNAcentral is "bacterial SSU rRNA". It matches the Rfam family "Bacterial small subunit ribosomal RNA", at positions 480 to 1194 of the family's 1533-position model. The record is from RNAcentral.
UGUGGAAUUCGCCCUUGUGCCAGCCGCCCCGUUAAUACGUAGGUGGCAAGCGUUGUCCGGAAUUAUUGGGCGUAAAGGGCUCGCAGGCGGUUUCUUAAGUCUGAUGUGAAAGCCCCCGGCUCAACCGGGGAGGGUCAUUGGAAACUGGGGAACUUGAGUGCAGAAGAGGAGAGUGGAAUUCCACGUGUAGCGGUGAAAUGCGUAGAGAUGUGGAGGAACACCAGUGGCGAAGGCGACUCUCUGGUCUGUAACUGACGCUGAGGAGCGAAAGCGUGGGGAGCGAACAGGAUUAGAUACCCUGGUAGUCCACGCCGUAAACGAUGAGUGCUAAGUGUUAGGGGGUUUCCGCCCCUUAGUGCUGCAGCUAACGCAUUAAGCACUCCGCCUGGGGAGUACGGUCGCAAGACUGAAACUCAAAGGAAUUGACGGGGGCCCGCACAAGCGGUGGAGCAUGUGGUUUAAUUCGAAGCAACGCGAAGAACCUUACCAGGUCUUGACAUCCUCUGACAAUCCUAGAGAUAGGACGUCCCCUUCGGGGGCAGAGUGACAGGUGGUGCAUGGUUGUCGUCAGCUCGUGUCGUGAGAUGUUGGGUUAAGUCCCGCAACGAGCGCAACCCUUGAUCUUAGUUGCCAGCAUUCAGUUGGGCACUCUAAGGUGACUGCCGGUGACAAACCGGAGGAAGGUGGGGAUGACGUCAAAUCAUC